This 504-nucleotide ribosomal RNA is filed under the name Trachyscelis ciliaris. RNAcentral describes it as "partial 16S ribosomal RNA". It matches the Rfam family "Bacterial large subunit ribosomal RNA", at positions 1808 to 2591 of the family's 2925-position model. Lineage: Eukaryota; Metazoa; Arthropoda; Insecta; Coleoptera; Tenebrionidae. The record is from RNAcentral.
CAAAAACAUGUCUUUUUGAUUUUUAUUUAAGGUCUGGCCUGCCCAAUGAUUAUUUAAAUGGCCGCAGUAUUUUGACUGUGCAAAGGUAGCAUAAUCAUUAGUUUUUUAAUUGGAAGCUGGAAUGAAAGGUUUGAUGAGAAAUUAGCUGUCUCUUUGCUAUUAAUGUAGAAUUUUAUUUUUAAGUUAAAAAGCUUAAAUUUUAUAGAGGGACGAGAAGACCCUAUAGAGUUUAAUUUGUUAUUGGAUUGAUUUUUUUGGAUUAUUUUAAUUUUAAUAAUUAAUUUUGUUGGGGUGACAUAAAAAUUUAAAAAACUUUUUAUUAUUUUUACACUAAUUAGUGAUUUUUUGAUCUUUGUUUAUGGAUUAUAAGAUUAAAUUACCUUAGGGAUAACAGCGUAAUUUUUUUUGAAAGUUCGUAUUUAUAAAAAAGUUUGCGACCUCGAUGUUGGAUUAAAAUUAAGGUUCGGUGUAGGAGCUGAAUUGUUGGGUCUGUUCGACCUUUAA